GCCGGGUGCGGUGGCGGUGCCUGUAAUCCAAGUUACCGGGAGGUGAGACUGGUGGAUCGUUGAGCUCAGGAUCUCUGAGCUGCAGUGGACUAUGUCGAUCGGGUGUCCCAAUAAGUUCGUAUCGAUAUGGUGCUCCUGGGGGAGGCCGGGACCACCAGGUCGUCUAAGGAGGGUGCACCGGCCCAGGUCGGAAACGGAGCAGGCCAAAGCCCCCGUGCCGCUCAGUAGUGGGAUCGCGCCUGUGAAUAGAGGCUGUAGUGAAGCCUGAGUAAUACAGCGGGACCCAGUCUUUU
This 293-nucleotide signal recognition particle RNA is filed under the name Neogobius melanostomus (round goby). Its description in RNAcentral is "Metazoan signal recognition particle RNA (ENSNMLG00000003694.1)". It matches the Rfam family "Metazoan signal recognition particle RNA". Rfam says of the family: The signal recognition particle (SRP) is a universally conserved ribonucleoprotein. It is involved in the co-translational targeting of proteins to membranes. Lineage: Eukaryota; Metazoa; Chordata; Actinopteri; Gobiiformes; Gobiidae. The record is from Rfam by way of RNAcentral.